Molecule: ribosomal RNA, 247 nt
Filed under: uncultured Clostridiaceae bacterium
Lineage: Bacteria; Bacillati; Bacillota; Clostridia; Eubacteriales; Clostridiaceae
Description: partial 16S ribosomal RNA
Rfam family: Bacterial small subunit ribosomal RNA
Source: RNAcentral
UACAGGACAGUGGCGGAUGGGUGAGUAACGCGUAAGAAACCUGCCUUUCACACCGGGAUAGCAGCUGGAAACGGCUAUUAAUACCGGAUGACACUUUUUCCCCGCAUGAGGAAGAGGUUAAAGAAUUUCGGUGAAAGAUGGUCUUGCGUCUGAUUAGCUAGUUGGUGGGGUAACGGCCUACCAAGGCGGCGAUCAGUAGCCGGCCUGAGAGGGUGUACGGCCACAUUGGGACUGAGACACGGCCCAA